Molecule: ribosomal RNA, 105 nt
Filed under: uncultured bacterium
Lineage: Bacteria
Description: partial 16S ribosomal RNA
Rfam family: Bacterial small subunit ribosomal RNA
Source: RNAcentral
CCCGGGCCUUGUACACACCGCCCGUCACACCAUGGGAGUCAAUUGCUCCAGAAGUCGGCAAACCGCAAGGCCGCCGCCCAAGGAGUGAUUCGGUAACUCGGGGUG